This 306-nucleotide ribosomal RNA is filed under the name uncultured bacterium. Its description in RNAcentral is "partial 16S ribosomal RNA". It matches the Rfam family "Bacterial small subunit ribosomal RNA", at positions 507 to 807 of the family's 1533-position model. The record is from RNAcentral.
GACAGCAGCCGCCGCGGGAACACAGAGGGUGCGAGCGUUAAUCGGAUUUACUGGGCGUAAAGCGUGCGUAGGCGGCUUCUUAAGUCGGAUGUGAAAUCCCUGAGCUUAACUUAGGAAUUGCAUUCGAUACUGGGAAGCUAGAGUAUCGGAGAGGAUGGUAGAAUUCCAGGUGUAGCGGUGAAAUGCGUAGAGAUCUGGAGGAAUACCGAUGGCGAAGGCAGCCAUCUGGCCUAAUACUGACGCUGAGGUACGAAAGCAUGGGGAGCAAACAGGAUUAGAUACCCCCGUAGUCCCUGUCUCUUAUAC